ACUGAGCGGCGGACGGGUGAGUAACGCGUGGGUAACCUGCCUCAUACAGGGGGAUAACAGUUGGAAACGGCUGCUAAUACCGCAUAAGCGCACAGUACCGCAUGGUACGGUGUGAAAAACUCCGGUGGUAUGAGAUGGACCCGCGUCUGAUUAGGUAGUUGGUGGGGUAACGGCCUACCAAGCCGACGAUCAGUAACCGACCUGAGAGGGUGACCGGCCACAUUGGGACUGAGACACGGCCCAA
Molecule: ribosomal RNA, 244 nt
Filed under: uncultured bacterium
Lineage: Bacteria
Description: partial 16S ribosomal RNA
Rfam family: Bacterial small subunit ribosomal RNA
Source: RNAcentral